UUCUUUAAGAAAUAAUUUAAAGUAAAACCUGCUCAAUGUUAAAAUAUAAAUAGCCGCAGUUUACUGUGCUAAGGUAGCAUAAUCAUUAGCUUUAUAAUUAAAAGAUAGAAUGAAUGGUUAUAUGAAUGACAAUAUGUUUCUAAAAUAUUUAAUAAAUUUAAAAUAAAAGUAAAAAUUCUUUUAAAACUAAGAAAGACGAUAAGACCCUAAUAAACUUUUCAUUUAGCUGGGGCGGCACUAUAAAAACACCUUAUAUUAUAUAGAAAAAAUUCUAAUAAAAUUAAUUUAUCAAGUUACUAUAGGGAUAACAGCGCAAUCUUUUUUCAAAGUUCUAAUAAAAAAAAAGACUUACGACCUCGAUGUUGAAUUAAUAAUCUUUUCAUUUAACGCAAAAGUUAUAAUAGAUAGUCUGUUCGACUAUUAAACAAUU
This 430-nucleotide ribosomal RNA is filed under the name Carapoia sp. Br15-79. RNAcentral's name for it is "partial 16S ribosomal RNA". The record is from RNAcentral. Lineage: Eukaryota; Metazoa; Arthropoda; Arachnida; Araneae; Pholcidae.